RNAcentral lists this ribosomal RNA (403 nucleotides) under uncultured bacterium. RNAcentral describes it as "bacterial SSU rRNA". It matches the Rfam family "Bacterial small subunit ribosomal RNA", at positions 355 to 775 of the family's 1533-position model. The record is from RNAcentral.
UAAGGAAUAUUGGACAAUGGAGGCAACUCUGAUCCAGCCAUGCCGCGUGAGUGAUGAAGGCCUUCGGGUUGUAAAACUCUUUUAGGUGUGAAAAUGAUGAUGGUAACACCAGAAAAAGCUCCGGCUAACUUCGUGCCAGCAGCCGCGGUAAUACGAAGGGAGCGAGCGUUGUUCGGAAUCACUGGGCGUAAAGCGUGCGUAGGCGGUUUUGUAAGUAAGAAGUGAAAGCCUGGGGCUCAACCUCAGAAUUGCUUUUUAGACUGCAAAGCUAGAGUAUUGGAGAGGUUAGUGGAAUUCCGAGUGUAGAGGUGAAAUUCGCAGAUAUUCGGAGGAACACCAGUGGCGAAGGCGACUAACUGGACAAUUACUGACGCUGAGGCACGAAAGCGUGGGGAUCAAACAG